UACAGAGGAUGCAAGCGUUAUCCGGAAUGAUUGGGCGUAAAGCGUCUGUAGGUGGCUUUUUAAGUCCGCCGUCAAAUCCCAGGGCUCAACUCUGGACAGGCGGUGGAAACUACCAAGCUGGAGUACGGUAGGGGCAGAGGGAAUUUCCGGUGGAGCGGUGAAAUGCGUAGAUAUGUGGAAGAAUACCGGUGGUGAAGACGGUUUUCUGUGCUAAGCCAGACGCUGAGGCGCGAAAGCUAGGGGAGCAAACAGG
RNAcentral lists this ribosomal RNA (253 nucleotides) under uncultured bacterium. RNAcentral describes it as "partial 16S ribosomal RNA". It matches the Rfam family "Bacterial small subunit ribosomal RNA", at positions 524 to 776 of the family's 1533-position model. The record is from RNAcentral.